UACGUAGGGUGCGAGCGUUAAUCGGAAUUACUGGGCGUAAAGCGUGCGCAGGCGGUUUUGUAAGCCAGGUGUGAAAUCCCCGGGCUCAACCUGGGAAUGGCAUUUGGGACUGCAAGGCUGGAGUGCGGCAGAGGAGACUGGAAUUCCUGGUGUAGCGGUGAAAUGCGCAGAUAUCAGGAGGAACACCAAUGGCGAAGGCAGCUCGCUGGGACGGUACUGACACUGAGACGCGAAAGCGUGGGGAGCAAACAGG
RNAcentral lists this ribosomal RNA (253 nucleotides) under uncultured bacterium. RNAcentral's name for it is "partial 16S ribosomal RNA". It matches the Rfam family "Bacterial small subunit ribosomal RNA", at positions 524 to 776 of the family's 1533-position model. The record is from RNAcentral.